This 72-nucleotide transfer RNA is filed under the name Parcubacteria group bacterium ADurb.Bin316. RNAcentral describes it as "tRNA-Gly". It matches the Rfam family "tRNA". Rfam says of the family: Transfer RNA (tRNA) molecules are approximately 80 nucleotides in length. Their secondary structure includes four short double-helical elements and three loops (D, anti-codon, and T loops). Further hydrogen bonds mediate the characteristic L-shaped molecular structure. tRNAs have two regions of fundamental functional importance: the anti-codon, which is responsible for specific mRNA codon recognition, and the 3' end, to which the tRNAs corresponding amino acid is attached (by aminoacyl-tRNA synthetases). tRNAs cope with the degeneracy of the genetic code in two manners: having more than one tRNA (with a specific anti-codon) for a particular amino acid; and 'wobble' base-pairing, i.e. permitting non-standard base-pairing at the 3rd anti-codon position. The record is from RNAcentral.
GCGGGGUUAGUUAAGCGGUUUAACACAACCCUUCCAAGGUCGAGAGACGGGUUCGACUCCCGUACCCCGCUC